AUAAAUACAACGGUGAUAAUUCGAUGUGAU
This 30-nucleotide non-coding RNA is filed under the name Trypanosoma brucei brucei. Lineage: Eukaryota; Euglenozoa; Kinetoplastea; Trypanosomatida; Trypanosomatidae. The record is from RNAcentral.